Long non-coding RNA from Chenopodium quinoa (quinoa), 8286 nucleotides. RefSeq lists it as uncharacterized. The transcript is spliced from 10 exons. The record is from RefSeq and is a predicted model, not a curated record. Lineage: Eukaryota; Viridiplantae; Streptophyta; Magnoliopsida; Caryophyllales; Amaranthaceae.
UUUUUCCUUAUAAUUUAGGGCGGCAUACAUAUAUUUAAACAAAAAAUAUAAAAAAGAAAAGCAAAGCAAAUCAACCUACAGCGUGGAAGUUACAGGGGCACUUUUUUAUUCUAAACAGUUAACUUACCUUGCACACUCAAAAUUCUCAAAAACCUAGCUACUGAAGAUCGAUUCAUGGUUAAUUGGUGAUUUCUUUGGCGGAAACUCAAAAUCCAUUGUAGAUCGAGGGGUAAGAACUCUAAUUUCUUUCUUUUUGGUCUUUAUAAUUGAUGAUUUUUUCUAGGCUCCAAUUUGUUGUAGGCCUUUUGAAUUCGUUCGUUGUUUGAUGUGACCUUGAUUUUUCUUUGUUAUUUCUACCUACAAUUCAUGUGUUAUUUUGACUACAAUUGCAACAAUAUCUCUCUAUUAUUAUUAUUUUUGUGGGAUUUUCUCUUAUUUAAUUGGGGCUUUCCUUCUGUUCGGGGUUUCGUCAUGAUUUUCUGGGUUUUGUUAGGAAUUUCAAGAUUUUCUGGGUUUUGUUAGGAACUUGCGUAUAUCUUCAUCAUCCUACUUAGAUAAAAGCAAAAAUAAUCUCUUGAUAUUUAUUUUCUGUCUAAGAUCAGAAUUUCCUUCGAUUAAAAUUUGAAACUUUGGUGCUAUGUUAAUUAUAAUAGUGAAUUGAUGAUUGUGACCCACUAGUGAUGUAAUAUCGUUUUAAUAUUUACACAUGCAACUUCAAAUAUGAAUUAUUAGGUAUUAAUUAUAACUUCUAUGUUAUUAGUGAUGUACUGUGUGAAGUGUAAUAGUGAAUAGAUGAUUGUUAACUACUAGUGUUGUCAUAUAUGCAACGCUUGAAUAACCCUGGUUUUUAAUCCUUUCAAUUGAUUAUAUUUCUAGCUGUUAUAUAUAUUAGCUUAAUCUUUACACAUAGAAUUUUAAAUAUGGAUUAUUAGGUAUUAAUUACAUAACUCCGUAGAUUAUUAGGUUCCGUGAUUGAGUUGUCAUAUGCAAUUGUUUAUCUAACUUUGUUUAUUUAAUCCUCUAAAUUGAUUAUAUUUCUGAAACCUCUUUACUUUUUAAUUUGUGUAUGUAUGGUGUACAUCUUAUUUUAUAUUUCAUGGGUAUUAGCAAAGGAUAGUUACGACUUCCUUUUAAAUGGAAUUUUCUAAUAUACACAAAUCAACUCGUUGUCUUAGCUUAGUUUAUUCCCUAAACUACGUAAAAGGUCUGCUCCUAUAAUUUUUCUAUAUGAUAAAAGCAUAGCCUUCUUGGUCCUACACUAUUUAGUUAAAAGAGACUUAAGUGUCUUCCUUGGAUAUAAGUGACUUCUUUGGAUUAUCAUAUUUAAAAAUUGUUUUUCUUUAAGGUGAAAUAUGACUGCAUAUAUACUAAUUGACACAAAGAAUAUAAAAGACAAAAAAAGGCUAUGUCAUAGUAUUACAAAUUUGAGUUAAGGAUGUUCCUAAAUUAUAAUUCUUAGACUAUUAUUGUAUAUCACCAUAGUCGUAAGUCUUAACAUAGUAUAUACCUUAAUAAUUUAUCCAGAUUUAGUUAAUAGUGAUUCUUAUUUUGGAAAUAACAUCUUAUAUCUUUUUACCACUCUAAGAGCUUAGAGUAUCCAUGAGAUAUAUAUUCAUGUUGCUUCUAUAUGACCUUGUUAGGUUAUAAAUCAAAGUUAGAUGCCUUUUAUUGUGGCUUCGAGUCUUAUCGGAUAAACAUGCUGCUGCAUUUUUUCAAACUUCAUUAUAAAAUUUUCCUUAGGUGGUUUUUUUAAUUUAUACAUGUUCAAUAUAUAGUAUAUGGAUUUUUCAUGAAAUACCACUGAGUUUUUCCAAAAUUCACCAUAUACCACACAAAAAUUUUUAAUUCACCAUAUACCACUGAGUUUAACAUAAAUGUCACAACAUGCCAUUUCCGUUAACUCAGUUAGUCAUUAACGUCAAUUGUGCCACGUGGCAGCUUGUAAUUGGUUUCCUUUUAAAUUAUUUAACUUUAAAAUAAUUGCUUAAUUAAUUAUCAAAAAAUAAAAAUAAAAAAAUAAUUGAAAAACUAAAUAAUUAAUUGAAAAACUUUUACAAAAAUAAUUGAAAAAAAAAUUAAACCCACCACCAACUGCCAGCCAUCUCCUCGCCCCCAACCAGCACCCAGCCAGCCCCCCGCCCCCCGCUCCCAGCCUUGAACCACCACCGCGCCGGCGCCGCCCCUCACCCAGCCUUGCGCCGGUGCCCCCAUCCCUCCCUUGAACCACCAAACCCAACCCAAAUUCUCCCUCCUAUGUUCCCAAAACGUCUCCCCCUGCAACCCUUCCACCUAAGCCGAAACCCACCAUGCCGAAAUCCAACGCCGGCGACCCAGAUCCCUCUCCCUCACGUCACCGCCGCCCAAUUUAGUUGCAAACAACCAACCCAAAAUCUCCCAGCCCCAGCCCGUGUACGACCACCCUCUUCAUCGCCGGACUGGAACGGCCCGCCACCCCUUUAUCACCACCAUCACAACCCCCUGCCGCCGCCCCUUACCACCAUCACAACAAAGUCUCACCUUCCUCCGCAAUUGCUGCCACCACAACCCACCACCACCAAGCGAACCCACACACACCAAAUCGCCACCAAUCGCACCAAAUCGGCGCCACCGCACCAAAUAGCCGGAGUUUAGGAGGUGGCGGGUUUCGCGGUGCCGGAGUUAUCAAUUUUAAAGGUUGGGGUUUCUGGGUUAGGGAUCGGGUUGUGGGUUUCUACAGGUUCUGGGUUGGGGUUUUACCAGUUAUUUGGGGUUUUCUGGUUAGGGAUUGAAGAAGAGGGAAGGUGGCUGGAGAAGGAUAAGAAGGGGGAGGGGUGGUCGGGAAAUCGAUUUAAGGGACGGGAAUGGGAUGGGAGGUCGAAAAAGGUUGGGGACAGGGGAGUGGAAGAGGGAGGAGGGCGAGCUGCUGGGAAAGGGAGGGAAGGGGGAGGAGGGGGGGCUGCCGGAAAAAUGGAGGGAAGGAGGAGGAGGGAGCUGCCGGAAAAAGAGAGGGAAGGGGAGGAUGGAGGUGGAGGGGAAGAGGCAGCCAUUGAUGAAGGUGAAGGGGAAAAAAUAAAAAAUAAAAAAAAAUUUAUUAAUUAAAUUUUUUUUUAUUAAUUAAGAGUUAAUUAGAUUAUCAAACGGAUUUAUUGAAAGCCACUAAGUGAAAGCCACGUGGCACAAUUAACCUUAAUCACUAACGGCGUUAACGGCAGACUAACGGCAGUUAGAAAAAAUGGCAUUCUGUGUUAAUGUACAUAAACUCAGUGCUAUAUGGUGAAUUAAAAAUUUUUGUGUGGUAUAUGGUGAAUUUUGGAAAAACUCAGUGGUAUCUCAUGAAAAAUCCGUAUAGUAUAUAUACCAAAAGUUUAUACUUCAAUGCUUGCUUUUUUUAUUUUUUAUUAUUUUUAUUUUUUAAAUUUGUUUGUAAGGAUAAUCUUAUUUGAAAAGCAUGGAUAUCGAUACAAGUUGGAUUGAACUACCCAACAACCAUCCAACUUAUCGUAGUGGAACUGUCAAAUUCAUUAAGUUGGCUAAAGAAGGGCUUGUAGAUGGAAAAGCUCUCUGAUGGUAAGAAAUGUAGGAUGGAAAAGUGGCUGACAAUACCAGAAAUAGAGGAGCAUAUUUUGUUUAAAGGUUUUGACAAGCAAUACAAGAAAUGGAUUUUUCACGGCAGAGGACCAGUCCUUGAGCGCAUGUUUAGUGAUCAACACGGUUCAAUUGGGGAUGUUGCUGGAACCACUAGUCAAGGGGCUCAACAUGGGGUUAUAGGUCGAGAUGAUAUGAGAGGCUUAUUAGGAGAUGCUUUCGGUGUUAAUAUGUCCAAUGUGAAUGAGCCUGAACCUGUAGAUCCACACCAUGCUGGAUCAAGUGAUCAAAGUGAGCCUAACUUUUUUGACCAUUCCUCAAUUGAAGAGCCCACUCCAUCCCCAACGCAAGUGAUGAAUGAAAAAGAAAAGGCUAACUUUGAGAGACUAUUAGAAGCUUCAAAUAAUGAAUUAUAUGCUGGAUGUAAGACGUUCUCUAAACUUUCAUUUCUUGUGCGAAUGUUUCACAUAAAGUGUAUGCAUCAUUUAUCUGCCGAGUCCUAUACAAUGAUUCUUGAACUUCUAAUUGAAGCAUUUCCUCAAAUUAUGGAGUUCCCAUCAUCAUAUUAUGAAUCCAAGAAAAUGAUUAAUACCUUGGGUCUUGGGUAUGAAAAAAUUGAUGCUUGCCCGAAUAAUUGCAUUCUCUAUCGAGGUGAACAUUCGGACAAGGAUGAAUGUGAUGUAUGCCAUGCUUCGAGAUGGAAGACAACUAAGUCUAAAGAAGGUAGUACAAGUGGGGAAGAUAAAGAUGUAAAAAAAGAUGAACCUGCGAAGGUACUUCGAUAUUUCCCUUUGAUCCCAAGGUUUAAAAGACUUUUAUUUGUCUUCUAAGAUAGCGAAAGAUAUGAUAUGACAUGAGAAGGAUCGCGAUAAACAGGAAGGUAUAUUGAGGCAUCCUGCAGAUGCUUCAGCCUGAAAAGAUUUGAUGAUAAAUAUUGUGAUUUUUCUUCUGAUCCUCGAAGUGUGAGAGUAGGGCUUGCUAGUGAUGGUUUUAAUCCUUAUCGCUUAAUGAAUACCACGCAUAGUACAUGGCCAGUGGUGUUAAUGAUUUAUAAUCUCCCACCAUGGUUAUGUAUGAAACAUUCUUCAUUUAUUCUUUCCUCUUUAAUUCCAGGAAAAUCAAGUCCUGGAAUUGACAUUGAUAUCUAUUUGCAACCUUUAGUGGAUGAGUUGAAGUUAUUAUGGGAGGGAGUAGAUGCAUUUGAUGCUUACAAAAAACAAUAUUUUAAACUGCGUGCUGCUUUAAUGUGGACAAUCAACGAUUUUCCAGCUUAUGCAAUGUUAUUAGGGUGGAGUACGAAAGGCUAUCAUGCAUACCCUUCUUGUGCCCAUGAAAAUCGUGCUGAAAAGUUGGCAGGUAAAAUGUGUUACAAAGGGUUUCGAAAGUGGCUGCCCAUUGAUCACCCUUAUCGAUCUCAAGCCCAUUUGUUUGAUGGGAAAGAAGAGUAUGGUCUUGCUCCAAGCCGUUAAUCAGGGACUGAUGUUCAAAAUCAACAAGAAGGGGUUGCAUAUACAUAUGGAAAAGGGAAAAAAACCUUCUAAAAAAAAGAGAGCAAGACAAGAUGAUGAUGAUGAUGACGAAGAAAAUGAUGAUAUUAAUGUUUUGUGGACCAAAAAGAGCAAAUUUUUUGAUUUACCUUAUUGGGAGCAUAAUCCUCUUCGUCAUAAUUUAGAUGUUAUGCACAUCGAAAAAAAUGUGUGUGACAAUUUCUUAGUCACCUUACUAAAUGUAGAUAAGAAAUCCAGGGAUAAUGAAAAAGUUAGAAAGGCAAUGAAAGAAGAAGGAAUAAAGCCACAUCUUUGGAUUAAGACUAGUCCAAACGGGCAAUCAAUUAUGCCUCUUGCUUCUUAUUCUAUGUCAAAAGAGGAUAAACUACGAUUCUUAAGGGUGUUCCAAAAAUUAAGAGUUCCGGAUGGAUAUUGAUCUAAUCUCUUAAGAUGCGUGAAUAUGAAACAAAAAAAACUUCAGAAUCUAAAGAGUCAUGACAACCAUGUCACUAUGAAAGAUCUUUUGCCUGUAGCUCUAUAAGCUUUAAGAGCUACAGAAAUUGUGGAUUUGGUGUCAGAGUUGUCAUCCUUUUUCAAAAUCGUGUGCUCUACCACCCUUGAUGUGAAAGUGUUGGAUGAGAUACAAACCAAAAUUGUUUUAACUUUUGUAAGAUAGAGAUAGAGUUUGUACCAACAUUUUUUACAGUCAUGGUUCAUUUAGUCAUUCAUUUAGUGGAGGAGGCCAAACUUGGUGGACCAGUCCAUUAUAGGUGGAUGUAUCCUAUUGAAAGGUACUUGGCCCAUUUGAAAUCAUGUGUGACUAACAAAGCUCAACCAGAAAGGUCAAUUACAGAAGGAUACCAUUUAGAAGAGAUGAUUAACUUUUGUUCAAGAUACUUAGAAGAAAUUGAGACCUUAUUUUAUAGGCUGAAGAGAAAUGACGAUCUUAUUCUGGAUACAAGUGCUUAUUUAUUUAAUUCUGGUGGUCGAUUCAUUGGGGCGAAGAAAAUUGCUCGUUUAGAUGCUAAAAGUCUAGAGCAAGCACAUCACUACGUUUUACUUCAUUUUGAUGAGAUGGCUGAAUUUCGUGAUGAGUUCUUACACCAGAAGCGACGUGAGAAUCGAUUUAGAGAAGUACGAGGUGACACAAUAGUAGAGUAUGAUUGGAUCAUUAAAGAUUCUCUAAUUGGCUUAGAGCCCAGGUACAUAAUAUAGAUAGCAAUAGUGAGCAAGGGAAGCUAAGGAAAGCUUUGGCAAGUGGUUUAUAUGAUCGUACUACAGAGUAUAAAGGCUUUGUAAUCAAUGGCUACAAGUUUCUGACUGUAGACCGUGAACGCUAUCGCAGGACACAAAAUUCAGGAGUUAUGGUUGAGGCAGAUGGCCAGUUUUACUAUGGAAAAGUCAGGAAAAUAUAUGAAUUAAGUUAUUAUGGGACAUAAGGUUGUGUUGUUUCGGUGUGAUUGGGCAGACAUUAGUAAGGGAUUAAAGACAUAUGAGAAUGGGGGUAUUUCUGUCAACUUUUCAAAGUUGAUGCAUAGUGGACGAUUAAUGAAAGAUGAUCCUUUUAUUUUUUUCAUCUCAAGCGAAACAGGGAUUAAAGAAAUACGAGCAUCAGAGUCUAUCUAUUCCAAUGCAUCUCAAAUGAAUUUUGGUGAAAACUCCUCUAAUAACGAUGGGAAUGAAGCGUGUAGAAUUGGAGGUUCAAGGAGGAACGACAAAAGAAAGAAGCGCUCCAUUACAAUAAAUGGAAACUCUUCUACUGACGAAGCCCAAGAUUGGAGAGAUGAUGUUAACUUUGAUGAAAGAGAGGAUGUUCGUGCCAUUGAUUCUGAAGGAAAUGUGCAGUUAUGGAGUGGUUCUAUACAGCCACAUGAUGUGUGGCUUCUUGAAAAAGAAGUCAGAUUUGAAGUUACAUUCAACAGAUUUUGCCAACCAAUUAGAAAGGGCGGAUCAAUACUUGUGAAAUUCAUUUCAAUUAUAGCAAAUAAAGAUGAUAUUUUUCCUAUAAGAGAUGUAAAUUAACGAAAUGUGAAUGCAACAAUACUAGGUGAUAUUGUUAAUUUGAUUCGUGAAAAAUUCAUCAUUCGGGAUGGUAAAAUCUAUGAUGAUGCAAUGCUUAAGCACGUGGGUAAGCAUCGUAGGCAGUGGAAGUUUGAGCUCAAAGCUAAAUAUUUCAAUCCCACUGUACGAACCAGAACACAAAUUGAAAAUGACAGGCCUGGAGAAAUUGUUCGUGAGAAUUGGCUUCCAUUGGUCGAAUUAUUGGUUUUCAAAGAAGAGCAAGAAUUAUUCUGAAAUUGGAAGAGAAGCACGUGCUUCUUUGGGACGUCUACAUACCAAUGGUGCUACGAGCUUUGCUAAUUCAAGAGACGAAUUUGAGAUUGAGCAUGGAAGAGAGCCUAGUGCUUAUGAGUUUUUUGAUAAAACUCACCAACCAAAGAAUGGAUGCUAUCCUAACAACACAAAUACUGAAGAAUUCAUUGACAUGGCAAAAUCUAAGAUUGAUUCAAGUGCUGCAAAUUCAUCAACUUUGAAGCCUCAAGUAGAGAUAGAGAAUGAAGUCUUCAAUGAUUUGAUGUAAGAUAAGGAUAAAAAAAACCAAAGACCAUUGGGUUAUGGGUUUGGGGUGAAUCAUAAUGAUGUGUUUGGAGUUCAUGCAUUAUUGCGAAAAAAAAAGGGGCACUUCUUAUAACAGUAGCGAUGACCAGAAUAUGAAAGCUGAUUUCGCAAGGUAUAAGAGGCAUACUGCAAACCUCUUAAUGAGACUGACAACACAAAUGACUAACGUGUUGGAUGCAGUGCGAAGCGGUAAUGUCUCUAAUGAAAUGUUAGAUGCUACUUCCACAACAUUACGCUCCAUACAUGCUCAGAAUAUGGAAGAAUCAAAUGGAGGUGAUGAUGAAGAUGAAGACGAGGAUGAAGAUCACUUGGAUCUUUCUACUUGAUUGGGCAUGGAAAAAUAGCACAUAUAUUUUUCUCACUGAAUAUGGGAAACAAUGAAACGUACAUUAUAGAAUAGGAAUCUGAUUUACUUUUUGGUUGACCAUUGUUACAAAUGGAGACAGUGAACUUAAUUUCUUGUUUAGACUUUUUUGAUCGUCGAAAAUUAUGAUUAUGUUAUUUUGAUGAUGAACGACUUUUAAGUUUAUGUAUGGAUUGUCGGAGAUUGGGUUUUGUUAUUUAUAGAAAUAUGUAGUACUACUUUUCUUAUUGUUUAACUUUUACUUAUUUAUUA